AUAUCUUUUGAGUCGACACUCACAUGUAACAUUUCACUCCUCGCUCAAUACACUCACCUCUAUCACUCAACUUCACCUCUCUCCGUUAAACCUCACCUCUCUGCUCAAACUCACCGGCGAUUAGGUAAAUCAAGGAUCCUCUACCCUCAAACUCACAUCUCAAUCGCUUAAAGUUUUGUUUCAGGUCGUCAAUUGGGACUUCGAUUGUCUUCGAUUGAAUUGGGGGCUUCAUUGGAACUAGGGUUUCAAAACUUUUCAUUUAUUUGGGGCUUCGAUUUGCUUGGAUAUAAGGAAAGUGAAAGUGGUUGUAAUCUUCCACACCCACAUUUCAGAUGCAUCUGCUCUAUUAGAGAUUAGCACAAAAACUGGUACACAAGCUAUUUACAUAUUUGUAUUAUGCUUCUUCGUUUGUAGUUGUAGUAAUAUUUUUUAUUUAAUUAUGUUUUUCCCCUUUAGUGCCGCCCUGUAUAUUUGCCAGGUUGAAUUGUGACCUUCAACAGAUUAUUGGAUGCAUCAGAUCACUGCCAUCUGAUAAUUUGACUAAAGCUGAGAUCCUGAAUUGGGGGGAGCUCGAUGAUUUUAUAAUACAAAAGAUUUGGUGGCGAAGAUAGUCAGAUAAAAGUUGAUGUAUAGUUGUAAAAGUUGAUGUAUAGUUGUAUUUGGUGGUUGAAUUUGUUUAAUACUUUGAUUUAGUUAGAUUUGUUAGGUAGUUUGGUUUGGUUGGAUUUGUUAUAAACUUUGGUUUGUAUGGAAAAAUAGUUUAAUGUUGUAGUUGAUAUAGUAAAAGGUUGCAAAGUUAUUAUUUAA
This is a long non-coding RNA of Daucus carota subsp. sativus, 807 nucleotides long. RefSeq lists it as uncharacterized. The transcript has 3 exons. Lineage: Eukaryota; Viridiplantae; Streptophyta; Magnoliopsida; Apiales; Apiaceae. The record is from RefSeq and is a predicted model, not a curated record.